UUAGUAGAUCAGUCUUUGGGUGGGUCUAUAGUACUUGUAUGGGAGACCACCUGGGAAUACUAGGCUGUCUACACUAAA
Molecule: ribosomal RNA, 78 nt
Filed under: Salvator merianae (Argentine black and white tegu)
Lineage: Eukaryota; Metazoa; Chordata; Lepidosauria; Squamata; Teiidae
Source: RNAcentral